UACGUAGGGGGCUAGCGUUAUCCGGAAUUACUGGGCGUAAAGGGUGCGUAGGUGGUUUCUUAAGUCAGAGGUGAAAGGCUACGGCUCAACCGUAGUAAGCCUUUGAAACUGGGAAACUUGAGUGCAGGAGAGGAGAGUGGAAUUCCUAGUGUAGCGGUGAAAUGCGUAGAUAUUAGGAGGAACACCGGUUGCGAAGGCGGCUCUCUGGACUGUAACUGACACUGAGGCACGAAAGCGUGGGGAGCAAACAGG
RNAcentral lists this ribosomal RNA (252 nucleotides) under uncultured bacterium. RNAcentral's name for it is "partial 16S ribosomal RNA". It matches the Rfam family "Bacterial small subunit ribosomal RNA", at positions 524 to 776 of the family's 1533-position model. The record is from RNAcentral.